AUACCUAAUACGUUGAGCGUGCUAUCAAACACCACCUUCCUAUUUGUCGGUCUCGCGUGGCUCAUCCUUUGCCACUACACAAACUACUUCAGGCUAUGCUCAGAGGGGGAGCGCUUGAGUUGGACACUGCUUUGCUGGUGUCACUUCUGGCGUGUUGGUUCAUCCUACUACCAUCUCUACGCGAACGAUGCCACCUUUGUUUGGGACAAAUUGCCUGAUGACGUUGCUUUCACGUCUAUCGUGGCCAUUUUCAACAUUAAAAGGGUUGAUGAUAGGUCAGGAACAAAGUCCCUUGCACCCCUUGUUAUUGCUGGUGCACUGAGCAUCAUGUACUGGAGUUUCUUUGAUGAUCUUCGGCCAUAUGCGGUAAUCCAGUUCAUGCCAUGCAUUGUAAUACCUGUGAUGACUAUAGUUAUUCCACCAAUGUAUACACAUUCAAGAUUUUUCAAAUUGAUUUCAGGAUUUUACCUUCUUGCCAAAGUAGAAGAGGCUGCAGACAAACCUAUAUAUAGGUGAACACAUGACAUUGUUAGUGGAUAUACUCUUAAGCAUCUAUGUGCUGCGAUGCUACCUGUUUUCUUUACUCUUAUGUUGGCAAAGAGGACAAUUGAACCUGACAGGGUAACCUUACUCAAGAUGUGGAAG
RNAcentral lists this ribosomal RNA (645 nucleotides) under Triticum aestivum (bread wheat). RNAcentral's name for it is "partial small subunit ribosomal RNA". The record is from RNAcentral. Lineage: Eukaryota; Viridiplantae; Streptophyta; Magnoliopsida; Poales; Poaceae.